RNAcentral lists this ribosomal RNA (564 nucleotides) under uncultured bacterium. RNAcentral's name for it is "partial 16S ribosomal RNA". It matches the Rfam family "Bacterial small subunit ribosomal RNA", at positions 355 to 1375 of the family's 1533-position model. The record is from RNAcentral.
UGGGGAAUAUUGGACAAUGGGGGCAACCCUGAUCCAGCCAUGCCGCGUGAGUGAUGAAGGCCCUAGGGUUGUAAAGCUCUUUUGUGCGGGAAGAUAAUGACGGUACCGCAAGAAUAAGCCCCGGCUAACUUCGUGCCAGCAGCCGCGGUAAUACGAAGGGGGCUAGCGUUGCUCGGAAUCACUGGGCGUAAAGGGUGCGUAGGCGGGUCUUUAAGUCAGGGGUGAAAUCCUGGAGCUCAACUCCAGAACUGCCUUUGAUACUGAAGAUCUUGAGUUCGGGAGAGGUGAGUGGAACUGCGAGUGUAGAGGUGAAAUUCGUAGAUAUUCGCAAGAACACCAGUGGCGAAGGCGGCUCACUGGCCCGAUACUGACGCUGAGGCACGAAAGCGUGGGGAGCAAACAGGAUUAGAUACCCUGGUAGUCCACGCCGUAAAACGAUGAAUGCCAGCCGUUGGUGGGUUUUACUCACCAGUGGCGCAGCUAACGCUUUAAGCAUUCCGCCNGGGGGAGUACGGUCGCAAGAUUAAAAACUCAAAGGAAUUGACGGGGUCAUAGCUGUUUCCU